GGGGGUCAAUUGACCAUUUCGGUCAUGUUGACUUAUUUGUAAAUCUUACUUUGCUGAACAUUAUUGUUGUUUACAGUUUAUCUCUAUCAAUAAUAAUAUUCAAGAUAAUGACCAAAAACAGCAAAAUUUCCUUAAAACUAACAAUCCAGGGUCAGCAACCCAACAACGGGUUGUCCGAUUCAUCUAAAAAUUUCAGAGCAGAUAAAUGUUGACCUGAUAAACAAUUUUACUCCAUGUCAGAUUUGCUCUAAAUGCUUUGGGUUUUGAGUUAUAAGCCAAAAACUGCAUUUUACCCCAUGUUCUAUUUUUAGCCAUGGCGGCCAUCUUGGUUGGAUGGCCGGGUCACCGGACACAUUUUUCAAACUACUAACCCAAAAGAUGAUUGUGGCCAAGUUUGGAUUAAUUUGGCCAAGUAGUUUCAGAGGAGAAGAUUUUUGUAAAAGAUUACUAAGAUUUUACGAAAAAUGGUUAAAAAUUGACUAUAAAGGGCAAUAACUCCUAAAGGGGUCAACUGACCAUUUCAGUCAUGUUGACUUAUUUGUAAAUCUUACUUUGGUGAAC
This 561-nucleotide long non-coding RNA is filed under the name Mytilus galloprovincialis (Mediterranean mussel). The record is from RNAcentral. Lineage: Eukaryota; Metazoa; Mollusca; Bivalvia; Mytilida; Mytilidae.